RNAcentral lists this ribosomal RNA (403 nucleotides) under bacterium. RNAcentral's name for it is "partial 16S ribosomal RNA". It matches the Rfam family "Bacterial small subunit ribosomal RNA", at positions 355 to 776 of the family's 1533-position model. The record is from RNAcentral.
UGGGUAAUAUUGCACAAUGGGGGAAACCCUGAUGCAGCGACGCCGCGUGAACGAAGAAGGUAUUCGUAUCGUAAAGUUCUGUCCUAUGGGAAGAUAAUGACAGUACCAUAGAAGAAAGCUCCGGCUAAAUACGUGCCAGCAGCCGCGGUAAUACGUAUGGAGCGAGCGUUGUCCGGAAUUAUUGGGCGUAAAGGGUACGCAGGCGGUUUAAUAAGUCGAAUGUUAAAGAUCGGGGCUCAACCCCGCAAAGCAUUGGAAACUGAUAAACUUGAGUAGUGGAGAGGAAAGUGGAAUUCCUAGUGUAGUAGUGAAAUACGUAGAUAUUAGGAGGAAUACCAGUAGCGAAGGCGACUUUCUGGACACAAACUGACGCUGAGGUACGAAAGCGUGGGGAGCAAACAGG